UUUACACCAUGUGCACUUUUUGUAGGUCAAUGGCCUAUGUUUAUAUUAUAUGCUCUAGGAAUUCAGAAUGUAUUGAAUCAAUUGAUAAUAAUACAACUUUCAACAACGGAUCUCUUGGCUCUCGCAUCGAUGAAGAACGCAGCGAAAUGCGAUAAGUAAUGUGAAUUGCAGAAUUCAGUGAAUCAUCGAAUCUUUGAACGCACCUUGCGCACCUUGGUAUUCCGAGGAGCAUGCCUGUUUGAGUAUCAUCAAAUCCUCAAUCCUUAUUUAAAGGCUUUGGACUUUGGAGUGUUGCUGGUCUUUGAAUCGGCUCCUCUUAAAUGUAUUAGCUUGGACUUUUUGCUUGAUAAGCUUUAGUAAUAUCUAUGCUUUGAAGCAAGAAAUGCCAGCUUCAAAUUGAAACCCUUUU
Molecule: ribosomal RNA, 409 nt
Filed under: uncultured Hygrophorus
Lineage: Eukaryota; Fungi; Basidiomycota; Agaricomycetes; Agaricales; Hygrophoraceae
Description: eukaryotic LSU rRNA
Rfam family: 5.8S ribosomal RNA (bases 95-248)
Source: RNAcentral